AGCUUUGAAGCCGGCGAGCGGUGAGGAGGAGGCGCCCUCGCGUGUGGAGAGCGGACUCCGCCUGGACUCCACCGCCCACGGCCGCAUCCCAUCGCCGCACAAGAUCGCCGGAGUCAUAUUAUCGACGUAGUUAAAGCCCACUAGCCUAAAGCCGGGCGGACUGCGGUAAGGAGGCCCCGAGACCGAACCUGCAGCCCCUGCAGCCCCGGGGGGGCGCCGGGGAAGGGACUCCCGAGAGGUCGCGAGGGGCGGAAGGCCCUGCAGGUUGUCACCCGGAAAUAACGUUCUGAGGCCCCCCAGCCAGGCGAACGCACCCUGCUCGGCCACGGCCUCCGAGGCUAACCGGAAAGGUGCCAGGCCGAGGUGCAGGGGCGGGAUGGCCCCAGGAAGAGCCGAGGGCCGAGGAGGGCGUUGGGUGGGCUCCGCGCUGCCCGAACUGGGGCCGCAGUCUCCACUCCCUCCUGCCCCGCGGCCCUCCGCCGACAGCCAGGCGCCGGCGGGGAGUCCUGGACCCCUCCCGGGCCCUGGAAGCCCCGUCCCGCCGGAGCUGACGCGCCCUCUUGGUAUCCAUCCGGCCGCCUGGGCUGCCCCUCGCCCCUCGCCUUGGCAAAACCAGCCCCCGGACCGAGCCCUGCCUUGGAGAGUGUGGGUGCGCAAGGCCAGCCGAGCUGUCGGUUCCGGGGUUUCGGGGUGCGCCACUGUAUGGCGGCGUAAGCCGAGAAGUGUCCGAGGCCGGGCUCCAGCAGUUGAGAGGCUGAUUUGGCCACGGUGAAGGACGCGCCCGGAGGAAGGAAACGGGAAUCCGAAACGGGCGGUGGCCGCGCCUUUCCCGAGGCCGGCGUCGAGGGCUUCAGCGCCUCAGGGUGGGCGGGAGGGGAAGGUCGUGCGACCCGCGUGGCCGGCGGAAAGGAGCAGCGGGAGCCGCGGCCGUAGGGAAGCCACGGGAAGACGGGCGGCUGCGCUGCGAUGCGCGGCCCUCUCCCUGAAGCCCUCGGCUCAGGCGCCACAGGAAAGGCUCCUUCGGGCAGGCCUCAGCUUUCAGCUUAAGUUUUUUUCCUUUGGCCGAGUCAACUGCGGUGCCGAGUUGUAUUUUCCUUUCAGAGGUGUGUCCGAGAACCAUUCUUAGGAGACGCCUGCCGGCCGCUUUGGGAUAGGGCCUGUCUGCCCAUGCUGGCUUCCAAAGGCCUCUGUGUGUUCCUGUAUGUGGGCGUGCACGUACCUGUCACAUGUGUACGCGCAGACCACAGGAUGUCCACACUGGCUUCCAAACACAUCUCUGUGUUUCUGUCUGUGAGUGUGUACGCAGGUGUCAAAUGUGUACGCACAGAUCACAGGGUGUCCACACUGGCUUCCAAACACGUCUCUGGGUUCCUUUAUGUGCGUGUGUAUGCACUUGUCAUGUGUACACACAGAUCACAGGGCAUCCACACUGGCUUCCAAACAUGUCUCUGUGUUUCUGUCUGUGGGUAUGUACACACAUAUCACAUGUGGAAGAGGUAGGAAGAGGCUGGAACAGGUAAGGGUCAUGAAGGUGCAGUGCACUAUUGUACUGUUUGCGCUUUAUAUGUGUUUGGUUAGUUUUGCAAGAACAUGCUGGUGAAGGAGAGAGAACCCCAAACAAUUGAUUAGCAGUGCUACUGAAACUCAGAUAUACACAGGAAUGGCAAAGAAACAUCUAUGAAAAAAAGCAGAUUCUGGAACUCCAUCUCCCUGAGAUUGUCACUCAUGGGGUCUGCAGGAAGUUUCAGGAAUCUGCAUUUUCUUCUAAUAAACGUGGUCCACAGGUUAUAAGUUGAGAUACAAAUAGAAUAUAUAAAGUAAAAAAGGAAAAUUUGAAGUUUCCUGCCUAGCCCAACUCUUCUCAUUGGUAGUGUCUGUUAAAUUGGAAACAUAUCUCUUUCCAGACAUAUUAAUACCUUUUAUACAGUUGACUCUUGAACAACAUUAGUUUGAACUGCGUGAGUACACUUAUAUGUGGAUUUUUUUCAGUAAAUGGAAUAUUUUUGGCGAUGGCAACAAUUUUGUGAAAAACCUCACAGAUGAGUCGCUUAGCCAAGAAAUAUGGAAAAAAAAAGAAAAGAAAAAGCUAGAUAUGUCAUGAAUGCAUAAAAUAUAUGUAGAUACUAGGCCAUUUUAUUAUUUACUAUCAUAAAAUAUAUACAAGCCUGUUAUAAAAAGUUAAAAUUUAUCAAAACUUACACGUACAAACAGACAGUUACAUGGCACCCAUUAGGUUCAAGAGAGGUGUAAACAGUUGUAAAGAUGCAAUAUUAAAUAAUAACUGCAUCAAAUUCACUGUAGUACAUAGAGUACUACUGUAAUGAUUUUGUAGCCACCUCCUGUUGCUAUUGCAGUGAGCGUCAGUGUUGCUGGUAUUGGCUAAAAAUUCCAAGUAACAUAAUCAUCUCUGAGUGAGCAGUUGAUCUCUCCAGUACAUUGCAUAUCACAGUAAAAGGUAAGCUCUUGAGGUUCUCACAUAUUUCUCGUUGUGUUCACUGCAGUACUGUAAACCUUGCGUAACACCAUGGGACCAUUACGAAGUGCCGCUAGUGGUGCUGGAAAUGCUCCCAAGAAUCAGAGAAAAGUUAAUGACAUUACAGAAAAAGCGGAAUUGCUUGCUGUGUAUUGUAGAUUGAGGUCUGCAGCUAAGGUCGCCUGCCAUUUUAAGAUAAAUGAAUCCAGUAUAAGGACUGUGGUAUAAAAACAAAAGGAAGUUUAUGAAGCCAUCGCUGCAGCUACACCAACAAGCAUGAAAACCUUGCACUUUUUGGGAAAUACCUUUUUAUCUCAUAUUGCAAAUGCAGCUUUUUGUGGGUGCAGGAUUGCUAUGAGAAAGGCAUACCUAUAUAAUCUAAUAUUCAAGAAAAAGUGAAGUCAUUAUCUGACAAAGCAAAAGGAAGAUGAAGGAAGGUAUGAUAAUUUUAAAAAGUGGGUUGGCUUUCAAAAAAUGUCAAGAUAACAGGAGAAGCAGCUUCUGCUGACCCAGAUGCAGCCGACGAGUUCCCAGAUACCAUUAAGGAAAUUAUUGAGGACAAAAGGCCAGGCUUUGUGGCUCAUGCCUGUAAUCCCAGCACUUUGGAAGGCUGAGGUGGGUGGAUUGCUUGAAGCCAGGAGUUCGAGACCAGCCUGGCCAACAUGGCAAAACCCUGUCUCUUCUAAAAAUACAAAAUUUAGCCAGGUGUGGUGGUGCACAUCUAUAAUCCCAGCUACUGAGGAGGCUAAGGCAUGAGAAUCGCUUGAACCCAGGAGGCAGAGGUUACAGUGAGAUUGCACCACUGCACUCCAGCCUGGGAGACAGAAUGAGACUCUCUCAAAAAAAAAUAAAUAAAAAAUAAAAAUAAAAAAAAAUAGAGAAAAUCACUGAGGAGAAAAGAUAUCUGCCUGAACAGGUUUUUAAGGCAAACGAAAAUGCCCUAUUCUGGGGGAAAAUAGUGCCACAGAGGAUAUUUAUUAGGAAGAGAAGUGAACAUCAGGAUCCAAGGCGGGAAGGGAUGGGCUAACUGUACUGUUUUGUGCAAAUGCAGCCAGAUGUAUGAUCAGGACUGCCCUUAUCUAUAAAAUUGAGCCUUGAAGGGAAAAGAAACACUGCCUGCCACUCUUUUGGUUGUACAGCAAGAUGGCUGAGCAGCAACUCUUUUUCUGGAUCAGUUAUAUAAAUGCUUUGUUUUUAAAGUCGGGAAGUACCUUGCCAGUAAGGGAUUGCCUUUAAUGUUCUUUUGAUAUUGGACAAUGCCCCUGGCCACCCAGAACCCCAUGAGUUCAAUACAAACACAUUGAAAUGGUCUACAUGCGCCUAAACACAACACCUCUAAUUCAACCUCUAGAUAAGGGAGUCAUAAGGACUUUAAGGAUCAUUACACACAGUACUCUGUGGAAGAGAACCCCAAUUGAGAGAAUAUCAUGAACGUCUGAAAGGAUUACACCAUUGAAGAUGCCAUUGUUGUUUCAGAAAAAACCAUGAAAAGCCAUCAAGCCCAAACAAAUUCCUGCUGGAGGAACUCCAGAUGUUGUGCAUCACUUCACAGGAUUUAUGACAGAGCCAAUCAAGGAAAUCAUGAAAGAGAUUGCAGAUAUGGCAAAAAAGGUUUCAAGAUACAAAUCUUGGAGAAAUUCAAGAGCUAAGAGACACCACACCAGAGGAAUUAACAGAAGACCACUUGAUGGAGAUGACUCCUUCUGAACCCAGUGCCAGACGAUGAGGAAGAAGACGAAGCAGUGCCAGAAAACAAAUUGACAUUAGACAAUCUGGCAGAAGGGUUCCACUUAUUCAAUAUGGCUUUUGACUUCUCUUAUAACAUGGACUUUUCUAUGAAACAGGCACUGAAUCUAAAGCAAAUGGUGGAAGAAGAAUUGGUGCUAAAUGGAAACAUGUUUAGAGAAAUGGAAAAGCAAAAAAGUCAGACAAAUUAUGAUGUAUCUCCAUCAGAUUACACUUAUUGUGCCUCCCUCUCCUGCCUCCUCUUCCACCUCUUCUACUUCUGCCACCCCUGAGACAGCAAAGCCAACCCCCGCUUCUCAGCCUAUUCAAGGUGAAAAUUAUGAGGACGGAGACAUUUAUGAUGAUUCACUUACACUUAAUGGAGAGUAAAUAUAUUUUCUCCUCAUGAUUUCCUUAAAACGUUUUCUUUAGCUUACUUUAUUAUAAGAAUACAGUAUAUAACAUAUGUAACAUACAAAAUUGUCGAGUGCGGUGGCUCACAUCUGUAAUCCCAACACUUUGGGAGGCUGAGGCAGACGGAUCACUUGAGACCAGGGGUUUGAGACCAGCCUGGCCAACAUGGCGAAACCCCGUCUCUAUUAAAAAGAUAAAAAUUAGCCAGACAUGAUGGUGCGUGCCUGUAAUCGCACCUACUCGGGAGGCUGAGGCAGGAGAAUCUCUUGAACCCAGGAGGCGGAGGUUGCAGUGAGCCGAGAUUGCACCACUGCACUCCUUGCCUGGGUGACAGAGCAAGACUCCAUCUCAAAAAAAAAAAAGUGUUAAUUGUUUAUGUUGUUGGUAAGACUUCCGAUCAACAGUAGGCUGUUACUACAGUUUUGGGGGAUGGAAUUUUGACUGUGAGGGUCUGUGCCCCUAACCUCAUGUUGCUUAAGGGUCAACUGUACAUAGAUAUGUUACAUACACACACAUACUUCCUCCCUCUCUGUAAUUUGGAUCCUAUGCCUAUUAUCUUUUAGUUUACUAACUUGACUUAAGAAGUCCUGAUCAUUUUUUGAUGUUCAUGCAUACCGUAUAGAUCCUACCUCAUUUGACUCCUACAAAAUAUUUGUUAAGGGUGUUCUAAAAGUUACUUUUUGUAGUUAAACUACACUUUAUUUACAUUUGUUUGUUAUGGAAAUAAUGCAUAAUAAUCGUUAAAAAUCCAAACAAAAGGGGGGAACAUAUUAAAAGAAAAGUAAGGGUCUCCCUGCUACUCUACCUACCUACCCACCUACCUUAUCUGUUACCAUAUCCUAGACCCAACUGCAAUUAACAAUUUCUGGUUUUAGUUCUUCUGGUUCUUUUCAUUAUAACCUUAAAUACUGUACAUAUACAUCUUGACUCACCAGCUGAAAAUCCUUCAAAGGGACAAAAACUUAUUCUUAACUCCUAAUUUAAAAAAUUGUAUUACUUUUAGUUUUGCUAGAAGCUUUCAUGACUUUAGGUUGUUUACCUAAAUCAUUAUUUAUAAAUUUUACACACUGUAUAUUGGCUCCCUACUAGGAGAGGUGAGGAAUUGGUACAUUCUUACUUUCUCGUCUUUUCCCCUCCCCCUCCUAAUUUUGUUAGUUUCAUUCUCAUUUUUAGUCUGUCAAGAAUUUGCAUUCUUUUUGUAAAUAAAAUUACAGACAUCCCUUGGUAUCCAUGGGGGAUUGGUUCCAGGACCUCUCGUAUACACCAAAAUCCACAUACACUCAAAUCCCACAGUUGGCCCUGUGGAACCUGUGGAUAUGACCAUUCGCAUCCCAAGAAUACUGUAUUUUCCACCUAUUCUUGGUUUCAGUUGUGGAACCCACUGAUAUGGAGGGCCAACUGUAUAUAUUGAAAACAAUUUGCAUAUAAGUAGACCCACACUGGUUCAGACCCCUGUUGUUCAGGGUCAGCUCUAUAUCUUUCCAACUUUGUGCAUUGAUUGAAAAACCAACAACAGUAUGAUAUUAGGGCUAUAACAGAUCUGUUAGGCCAAGCCCACAUGCCCCUGAACAGAACAUUCUGCACAUUGGGCCAACUUCCAACUGCCGGCACCUGAAGUUAUUUGCAUUAUCAGCUAUCUUUGUCCACCAGAGCCUGCUCUGCCUGCAUUUUGGGAAGACCUAAAGUGCCAAGGAAUUAACACACCCUGCAAGUAUGCUCAAUUGAAGGCAAUGAAUAGAAAAAGACCCCUGACUCCUUCACCCCUGGAUUUCAGGGAGGUAAAUCCAAGAUGUAUGCUAAGGAGGUGACACUUAAUGUCAGACACACACACCUGUUAUGAGAGUUUCCUGAUUGAAUAAGAAAGAGGCAUUCCAGGCAGAAGUACCCGAACAUACAAGAGUGCAAGACCAAGAGGCUAAGGCAGAUUGCUCUGUGCAAGAAGUGGCAGGUAGUGUGGCGUGGCUGGAGAUGAAGAAAUGACUGGAUUGGGAAGGACUUUAUCCACCAAUCUAAUGAAUUUGACUUUCAUCUUGAAGGUGUGAAAUAGCGUGCUAAACAAGUUUAAAAGCAAAAUGUCAUUAGCCUAUUUGUAUUUAGAAAGAGCACUCCAGAAGCAAGGAGGGGAUGGGUGAAUUGGAUGUACUGACACUGGAACAAGGAAAUUAUUCCAAUAGUCCAGGAAAGAAGAAGGACAUCAACUAAAAUUGCACAAGUGAACAUGGAAAAAAGAGGAUGCGUCUGAGAAAUAUAAAUAUUGGCCGGGGCGGUGGCUCACACCUGUAAUCCCAACACUUCGGGAGGGUGAGGUGGGCAGAUUGCUUGAACUCAGGAGUUCAAAACCAGCCUGGGUAACAUGGCAAAACCCCUCUCUACACAAAAUACAAAAAUUAGCCAAGCGUGAUGGCAUGGCCUGUAGUCCCAGUUACUCAGGAGGCUGAGGUGGGAGGAUCACUUGAGCCUGGGAGGUUGAGGCUGCAGUGAGCCAUGAUCUCGCCACUGCACUCCCACCUGGGAGAUAGAGUGGGACCCUGUCUAAAAAAAAAAACAAAGAAAUAUAAAUAUUGUAUUAGGGUUUACCAAAGAAACAGAACCAAUACGAUAUAUGUAUGUAUACGGGUAUAUAUAUAAGGAGAUUCAUAUAAGGAACUGACUCACAAGAUCACUGAGGCUGGCAAGUCUACAGGAUGAGCCAGCAAGCUGGAGACCCAGGAGAACUGAUGGCAUAGUUCCUGACCAGAGGCUAGCAGGCUUGAAAUCCAGGAAGAGUCAGUGUUUCAAUCUGAGUCUGAAGGCAAGAAACAAGCUGAUGUCCCAGUCAAAAGAUCAGAAGGCAGGAGAGAUUCUUUCUUACUCAGGGAGGAUCAGUUUUUUUGUUUUAUUCAGGCUUCUAACUGAUUGGAUGAGACUCACUCAUAUGUUAGGGAGGUCAAUUUGCUUUACUCAGGCUAUCCAUUUAAAUGUUAAUCUCAUCCCAAAACACCCUCAUACACACACCCAGGAUAAUGUUUCAGCAAGUAUCUGGGCACUCUAUGGCCCAGUCAAGUUGACACAUAAAAUUAAUCACAAAUAUGUUCCAGUAACUUAGUUUUUAAACAACUAGAUUCUUAUGAGAAUAAACUCAGGAUAGGAUAGGGGAAAUGCUUUCUGGCUUUCCACUUGCAUAUUCUUGGAAUGUCACUUUUUCUUAAAUGUUAAAAAUUGAAGGCCAGGCAUGGUGGCUCAUGCCUGUAAUCCCAGCACUUUGGGAGGCUGAGGUGGGUGGAUCACGAUGUCAGGAGUUCCAGACCAGCCUGACCAUCAUGGUGAAACCCCAUCUUUACUAAAAAUACAAAAAAAUAGCUGGGAGUGGUGGCGCGUGCCUAUAAUCCCAACUACUCAGGAGGCUGAGGCAGGAGAAUCACUUGAAACCUGGGAGACGGAGGUUGCAGUGAGCCAAGAUCACGCCACCGCACUGCAGCCUGGGCAACAAGAAUGAGACUCCAUCUCAAAAAAAAAAAAAAAAAAUGAAAAUGUGUCGUUAAUCAUCGAGAUAGUCUUUCAGUCUGCACUCAGUAAUAUUAAUGCCUUCUCAUUGAAGUCAUCUAUUCUGUUCCCAUAAAGAUCAGGAUAGUUUAGGUAGUGGUGAAUAAAUAAGGUUCUCAAUGGCCUAUUAGUUUUUUUAAAUGUUCAAAAGAUAGUAGCAUGUUGGGAAAAGAGAUGAAUUCCACAUUUCUUUUGGUACAGUACAACUUACUGAAAUUGCUUUCUUAUUUCAACAAGGAUUUACCAGGUUGUGUGUAGUGGUUAAAAGCAUGGACUUUACAGCCACAUUACAUGGGUUCAAAUCCACUUACUAGUUAUGUUAACCACAGGAAGUUAGCUAAUGUCUCUCUGCCUCAGUUUUCUGUUUGUAAAUUAGGAUAAAAAUCUCCGUAGAUGUGAAUAUGUAUAGCUAGAUAGUAGAUUGUAUUCAAAAUCCCAAUCAUAACAUAAUAAAAAUAUUAACUAUUAUUAGUUGUUUUGAAUAUACAACCUAAUUUCAUUUUCUCCAUGAUCUGAGCAUGUUGAGUUAUUUUUAAACAACUCCAUUUUACAGAUGAGACAGUGUUCCAAUAAGCUAGGUAGUAUGCCCACAGACACACAGCUAGCAGCUGAGAUGAACCACCCAAGUCUAUUUGGUUUUCAGCUCAUGUUCUUUUCAUGAUAUUUUGCUUUCUCUCAAUAUUUAUAGAAUUUAAUUUAAUUGACUAGAAUUAAACUAAGAGAAAAUGAUUGAAUGAAGAGAUGCAGAAGGCAAGAGAUAGCAAAGGUCAUUCUGGGCUGGGCAUGGUGGCUCACACCUGUAAUCCCAGCACUUUGGGAGGCCUAGGCGGGUGGAUCAUCUGAGGUCGGGAGUUCAAGACCACCCUGGCCAACAUGGUGAAACACCCCCGUCUGCUAAAAAUACAAAAAUUAGCUGGGUGUGGUGGCAGGCGCCUGUAAUUGCAGCUACUCGGGAAGCUGAGGCAGGAGAAUCGCUUGAACUGGGGAGGUGGAAGUUGCAGUGAGCCGAGAUGUGCCAUUGCACUCCAGCCUGGGCAGUAAGAGCGAAACUCCGUCUCAAAGCAAAAAAAAGAAAAGCUACCUUUACCAAAGACAGUUAAAAUGAUGGCCACCAAGGGGCAGUGUGCAGCAGGCAGAGAAGGUGGCUUUUUAAAUUAUUUUUCACUGCCUGCUGAGACAAAGAUGUUACACCAGAAUAUGCCACCCUAACAUAUGCUUCUUUGGCAUAAGGAUUAUUUUGAGCUGAAGACGAUUGAGAAGAAACAAAUAAAAGAAAAACUCUGCCUUCCCUUUCUUUGCCUAAAGGCAGGACAUGCUAGUUAAUGAUCAACCCCUGACCUAAUCGGUUAUGUUACCUAUAGAUUACAGACAUUUUAUAGAAAAAGAAAAACACGGUGAAAAUCCCUGUCCUGUUCUGUUCCAUUGUAAUUACCAGUGCAUGCAGCCCCCAAUCACAUACCCACUGCUUGCUCAAUCGAUCAUGACACUCUCAUGUGGACCCCCUUAGAGUUGUAAGCCCUUAAGAGGGAAAGGAAUUGCUCACUUGGGGAGCUCGGUUUUUGGAGACGUGAGUCUGCUGAUGCUCCCAGCUGAAUAAAGCCCUUCCUUCUACAACUCGGUGUCUGAGGGGUUUUGUCUGUGGCUACAAACCUGUCUUUGGCCAGUCUAAUUUACAGGACCUCAGCCAGAGAACUAAGAUGGGUAGAGGCAAUACAGGAGAUAGAAAUAAUUUAGGUAGGUAGAUAGGGUGAAAGAGUCCCUGACAAAAGCUUUUCUUCUGACAAAAAACAGCUCAGAAAUUACUUCCAUUCUAACCACAGGCAGUCCAAAUAAAUCACUUCUCUUUUAACAAAGAGCAGCCUGGAAGAUUGGACUGUAUAAUGUAGAUAAGCAUCUCCGGCACAGAGGGAGAGUUUCUUGGGUAGUCACCAAACUUACAUAAAUGGGUCCCAGUAAAAACAGUAGGCUUUAAUGAGCACAUUCCUUUCCCCUUUUUUGGACAGGGACACACUAAGGUUAGCUAGAAGCUUGCAUGGUGGGGUGGGGGAAAUGCCUGCAGCUGCAAGGAGGUACCCAGGACAAGGCAUGGAAACUCCCCCUAUUCUUGUUAGCACAUGCAAGGUGGAAGGAGAAAGGCAGUGUGGAGUCGCCCAAGCUAAGAGCCUGCCUGCAUGAUAAAAGAAUGGGGUAGGGGCUGCCAGAGAUUCCACUCUAUACAGAUGACACACCUGGUCCUAACCAGGUUUUCAUGCCCUAUGUAGAUAAGAUACCCGCUCCCUACUAGCUCGUUGAUAAAAACCCUCCAUUUUACUGCAGCACGGCAACCCGUCUGGGACCUCUCUCUGUGAGAGAGAGCUGUCCUUUUCCUUUUGCCUAUUACACUUCUCUAACUUCACCCUUUGUGUGUCUGCAUUCUUCAUUUCUGUGGCCAUGAGACAAAAAACCUCAGCUGAUAUCCCAGACAACAAGGCUGCUUUAGAGGGAAAACGGAUAGCUAAUAUUAUCAGUUAAUUGGCUAUGUUAAUUGAUACCUUCAAAUUAGGUGUUUUAAAAUAAAUGCUGAGAACAAUAUGAAAGUGUUUUUCUUUUACUAAUUCUCUGAGGAUUUUGUUAUUUAUUUAGCUUUACAAUGCCUAGCCCCCUUUAUAAAUGUAAUUAUUGUGUUGCUAAGUGCAUGUAUACAAAAAAUUCAUUGGUUCAAAAGCCAUAGGCCUGGUACCAUAGCCAUAUAUGGUACGUUCAAACCUUGGAAAUGCACAUUCUCAGUGUGUCGGAAGCUCUGUACUGCUCCUUCUUGAAGAACUACUUUGAUUUGUGGUUAACUCGCUGUUUUGACUCACUGUUUUAACUCCCAUUACUUCAGUAUCUGACAUUCAGCCUCAGAAUCUGGCCAGUGUAUCAGGGCUGGAAUUAAUUGAUUAACACCAUUAGAUGGCAGUACUAUUUAAAUUCCAAAAAUGGUUAUAAACUCAUUCUCUAAAAUGUGUGUCAAAUAGAAUAUUUGACUGAUAAUAACUCUAAGAGCACAAAAGGAUUAAACACACACACAAGACAAAGUUUGGGAUAUACCCAUUGGAAAAACCCUUGGUCUCUUUAAAUUUUUUUUCAUAUGUAUGUAUAUUGCACAUAUUGCCGGCCUCUUUAUCUCUUUUUUCCUUUUUUUUUUUUUUUUUUUUGAGAAGGAGUCUUACUCUGUCACCCAGGCUGGAGCACAGUAGUGCAAACAUGACUCACUGCAGCCUUGAACUCCUGGGCUCAAGCGACCUUGUCACCUUAGCCACUGUGACCAGCCUUCUUUUCCCUUUUGACUUUGUUAUAUCACACUGACUCUAGAAAUGUGGUUCUUUAUUGGGGCGAUUUUGCCCUCCCCCGGGGACAUCUGACAAGGUCUGGAGACAUUUUGAUUGUGGGUAGGGGGAGGGACACUCUGCUACAGGCAUCUAGUUGGCAGAGCCCAGAGAUACCGCUACACACCCUACACUGUGCAGAACAGCCCCUACGGCCAGGAAUUAUCAGGCCCAAACAAAAUACCAAGUUAGUUUUUAAUUUCAAAGUUUACGCGUAACAUUAUUUUUUAGAUAUAAAAAAUAUUCACACAUUAAUUUGAUCACAAGAAAUUUUAAAGAAAUUUAAACAUUUUCAGAAAAGGCUACUUCAAGGUGUCAUGACAGCUUUGGACCAAACAUUAAUGUUCUAUAUGACUUUGGGCAAGUCAGUCAUGUUUAUUAGACUUAAUAACCCAGGUAACGUUAGCUGUUGGAGGGUUUUUUAAAAAACGUUUUAUUUUGAAAAAACUUCAAACUUAAAGGAAAAAUGGCAAGAAUACUACAAAGACCUAUUUAUUCAGAUACACCAGUUGUCACAAUUUUGCCAUAUUAACUUUAUCUAUUGAUCAAUUUCUCUUUCAGUCUAUUGACCUAUCUAUCUUGAACUAUUUGGGAUUAAGUUGUAGACAUCUGAUCCCCUUACCCUUAAACACUUUACCACGUCUUCCUAAGAAUAAGACCAUUACUCCACACAGUACACUUAUCUAAAUCAGGAGACAGCAUUGUUAUAAUACUGUUACCAAGUGGCAAGCUGGUGCACUGUCCAGACAGGGAGAGAGGGAGAGAGGACCUGAUUUGUAACAUUUGCCAGUUCCCAUGUGUGAUGGUUUACUUUGGUUCAUAACUACCAUUGUCCUUGUUACAGUCUUUUAUUAAAAUGUGGGGUGUGUUAGGCCGCAAGGGCAGGCCUCAAGAAACAGAAUCUCUCUCCUGCCCUCCUUUCACCUGCCCCAAGGCAGGAUUCCAUCUUCUCCCACCUUUCCAACUGUGGGUCUUAAGACUUUUCAGAGAGGGUCCUGCCAUACACACUGGGGGAAGGAAUGCUGACGUCAUGAAGCUUCCAUGAAAACUCAAGAGGACUGAGUUCAGAGAGCUUCCGGAUAGCUGAAAACAUGGAGGUUCCUGGUUCCUGGAGGGUGGCGCCCCAGGCAUGGAAGCUCUGAGCCCCUUCCUCCGCACCUCAUCUCUUCAUCUGUAUCCUUUGUAAUAUCCUUUAUUAUAAAACAGCAAAUGUGUUUCCCUGAGUUCUGUGAGCCACUCCAGCAAAUCAAUCAAACCCAAAGAGGGGGUCAUGGGAACCCCAACUUGAAGCUCAAUCAGAAUUUCCCAAGGCCCAGAUUUGCAACUGAUAUCUGGGGGUGAGGGUGGUCUUGGGGUCUGAGCCCUCAAUCUGUGGGAUCUGAUGCUACCUCCAGAUAGAUAGUGAAGGAACUGGGUGGAGGUCCUGGCUUGUGUCUGCCUCUUGGUGGUGGGGAGAAGUUCCCACACAUAUGGUCACAGGAGUCUUCUGUGUUGAUGAUUGCUGUUGUGGUGUGAGAGCAGAGGAAAAACACAGUUUGAGAGAGUUUUCCCAAAAUACCAUGGUAAGUGGCUCAUCAUGGCUGAUUUCAGGUUAUCAACAGCUUAACAACCAGCUCAAAACAUGCUUUGCUGUUUAACAAUCAACUCUCAGGGAAUCAGUGAACUGGUGAGCACAAAGCUACUGUUAACGAAUCCAUGGUUCAUAUGCAAAAGUUACCAACUGCUCUAAUAAUGUCCUUAAUAGUCAUGUUUUUUUCCAAGUUCAUGAUUCGGUCUGUAUCAUCAUUUGUCACCUCUCUUUAGUAUCCUUUAACCUGGAGUGGUUCCAGCCUGUUUUUGUCUACUGGGGCAUUGCUGUUCUUGAAAGAGUACAGGUCAGGUGUUUUGUAGAAUGCCUUUCAAUUAGGGUUUACCCAGUGUCUUCUCUGGAUUAGAUUUACAUUAUGCGUUUUUGGCAGGAAUACCACAUACAUGAUGUUUACUUGGUUCAUUGGAUAAGAAGCCCGUGAUGUCGGUUUGUCCUAUUAUUGGUGAUACCAAUUUUGGCCACUUGGUUAAGUGGCAUGUGUGAGGUUUUUUCAUUGUAAAACUGUUAUUUCCUUUUUGUAAUUAAUAUGAGACACUUUGAGACUACGCGGAUAUCCUCUCCCUCAUCAAACUUUUCUCCACCAACUUUAGCAUCUGGUUGCCACCCUCCAAAAUGGCCCCAGUGAUCCCAUCUCCUAAUAAGUACAUGUCUGUGUGGUCCUCUCCCACACUGCAUAGGAAUGGCUUACGUAACCAAUAGGUAGUUGAGGAUGUGAUGCAGUCUGACUUUUGAGGCUAAGUUGUAAAGAAAGACACUGUGUCUUCCUCCUUGUUGUCUUGGAGCGCUUGCUCUGGAGAAGCCAGAGGUCAUGUCGUGAGGAUACUCAAGUUGCCAUUUGGAGAGGUGCACAUGGUGAAGAAAUGAGGCCUACUGCCAAUGACCAUGUAAGUGAGCCACCACGGAGAUACUCCCAUAGCCCUGAUCAAGCCCUCAGAUUACUGCAGCCUCAGCUAGCAUCUGGACUGCAAUCUCAUGAGUAGGCCCAAGCCAGAAUCACCCAGAAAAGCCAUUCCCAAAUUCCUGUCCCACAAAAACUGUCCAAAAAUAAAAAAUAGCCACUAAGUUUUGGAGUAAUUUGUGGCAUGGCAGUAGAUAACUAAUAUAGCAUCCAUUGAAAACUUUUUUCUUGGCCGGGCACCGUGGCUCAUGCUUGUAAGCCCAGCACUUUGGGAGGCCAAGGUGGGUGGAUCACCCGAGGUCAGGAGUUAGAGAGUAGCCCAGCCAGCAUGGCAAAAACCUGUCUCUAUUAGAAAUACAAAAUUAGCCGGGCGUGGUGGCGCACACCAGUCAUCCCAGCUACUCGGGGGACUGAGGCAGGAGAAUCGCUUGAACCUGGGAGGCAGAGGUUGCAGUGAGCUGAGAUCGCGUCACUGCACUCCAGCCUGGGCGAUGGAGCAAGACUCUAUCUCAAAAAAAAAAAAAAGACAACUUUUUUCUUCAAUCAGUUACUAAUAAGAUGGCUGCAAAAUGGUGAGGUUUCAUCAUUUUGUUUUACUUCAUCAUAACAUCUACAUUUAUUAGUAGGCAUCUACUCUAAACAAGAGCUUUUCCUUCUUGUUUUAUUUAUUUAUUUAUAUCAGUUUGGUGUAUAGACUCCUAUUUUACUCAGUUAGUUAUAAUCCAUUAUUUUUAUUGUUUAUUUUGCUGCUCAGAUUGUCCCAGCCCUGGCUGGUGUCCUUUUGACUCCUGUGUCCUUUUACAGAGUCAGUGGUCUUCCCUCUCCCAGCUCUGGAGCCAGCCAUUUUUCCACGUAUCUCUAUUUCCUUUUAGUGGAGAAUGGUAUUCAGAAACCAAACUUACUGUCUAUAAAUAUUAUUCUGUACAUUCUGCUGAAAGUUUAAAAGUGUUGCUUUUUAUAUUUGAAUCCUUAAUCUCCCUGGAAUUUAGCGUAUGGAGUGAGGGAGAUAUCAAAUUUCAUUUUUUCACACAUAUAUAACCAAUUAUUUCAGCAUCUCUUAUAUUGAGGAGUUGCUUCUUUACCCAGAUAGCUACAAUGCUGACACUAACAUAAAUCAGCUUGAUAUAUGUCAGUUUUUUUCCUGGGUUCUCCAUUCUGUUUCAUUUGUAUGUGUUUCCAUAACUACACUAAUAACAGUGUUAAAUUAUUAAAACUGUAUAAUAUGUUUUGACAUCUGAUAGGGCAAUCUUUCAUUUAUUCUUCUCUUUCAGGAAUUCUUUGGCUAUUCUUAGGCCUUUUCUCAUCCAGAUAAGAUACUGAAUCAGCUUAUCAAGGGCCAACUUAUUGAAUUGUUAUUGAAUUUGAGAUGAAUCAAUAAAGAGAAAGGAGAGCCAUGAAAUUAGAAAAACUACCCUAAUUAAGUCUUCCCUUCUAAAAGUCAGGAAAACUAGCAUUACUUGAAAAUGAGUACCAAAAAAACUAAGGUCAAAUCCCAUACAAAGUCAUUAUGAAGAAAAAAAGAGAAUAAAACAUAAUUUCUUUAGAAAAUAAAUUAUGACAGAAAGCCAUGGCUUCAAAACAGAUGAAAACUAAAAUAUUUUAAAAUAAGUUAAUAAACAUCUAAAAUGACAUUAGAUAUGAAAAAAUGACGUGUCAGAUUUAGAAAUAUACAGAAAGGAGAUGACAAACUCAGAAAAGAAGUAAAAAUUUUAAAAACAUUUCAGAAAUGAAGAGAGAAAGAAACACGAGCAAAUAAACAGAACUGAUAAUGCAUUAAAAGAAAAGAUGAAAAAAUAUGAGGCUAUAAAAGAGACGUGUGGUACAGGAUAACGGUCACCCAAAGAUGUCCCCAUCCUAAUCUCCAGAACCUGUGCCUGUGUCACCUGACAUGGCAAAGUGACAGCAAAUGUGACUACCUUAUGGAUCUCAAGAGAGAAGCCUGAUCCUGGAUCAUCUGGCUGAGUCCAGCCUAAUUGCAUGGGUCCUUAACAGUGGAGAGUCGACUGCAGUGGUAUGAAGGAAAUGCAGCUAUGGAAGAAACGGUCUGAGAAAUGGUACAUUGCUGGCUUUGUGGAUGGAGGAAAGUGGUCAUGAGCCAAGGGAUGUGUACUACCUCUAGAAGCUGGAAAAGGGAAGAAAACAGAUUUGCCCUAAAGCCUCCAGAAUGAAAUCCAGACCUACUGACACCCUGGUUUUAGCUCAGUGAGACCCAUGGUGGGCUUCUGAAGGCAAAAUUGUAAGAUAAUAAAUGUGUUAAGACACUAAAUUUAUGGUGAUAUGCUACACAGUGGUAGAAAAUUAGUACAAGAUGAAAAAGAUUUAAAAGGAAAUGACAGAUAUACAUAUAUAGGAAACAGGCAAGGAAGACCCUGUACACAUGGGUACACGUGCAUGCGCACACACACACAGAUAUAUUAGUUCCUAAAGAAAUAAAAUCAGCCAGGCGCGGUGGCUCACGCCUGUAAUCCCAGCACUUUGGGAGGCUGAGACAGGUGGAUCACCUGAGGUCAGGAGUUCAAGACCAGCCUCAACAUGGAGAAACCCUGUCUCUACUAAAAACACAAAAUUAGCUGGGCGUGGUGGUGCAGGCCUGUAAUCCCAGCUACUCAGGAGGCUGAGGCAGGAGACUUGCUUGAACCUGGGAGGCGGAGGUUGCAGUGAGCCGAGAUCGUGCCAUUGCACUCCAUCCUGGGCAACAAGAGUGAAACUCCGUCUCAAAAAAAAAAAAAAAAAAAAGAAAAUCAAAAGGAAUAGAUCCAAACAAACAAGAUGUAUAAUUCAGGAAAGGUUUCCUGAAAUAAGCAUAUACUUGAAACGACAUAUUGAAAGAUUAUCUAAACACCUUGGAAAAUGGAGUCCAAAUAUCCAAUACCAAGACAUUCUAGUAAAAUUAUUGGAAGAGAAAGGAAAGAAGGAAGAAGGGGAAAGAAGGAAGAAGGGGAAAGAGGGAAGAAAUAAAAUUUCUUGGGGUUCCUUUCCCCACCAAAAGAAGAUGCACUGACAUUUUGAAAGAAAAUUAGUUUGACAUCAGAUUUUUCAACAGCAAUGCCUUAUGUCAGAACAAAAUGGAGUUACAUAUUCAGGCCAAGUGUGGUGGCGCACACCUGUAAUCCCAGCACUUUGGGAGGCUGAGGCGGGUGAAUCGCUUGAGCCCAGGAGUUCAAGAGCAUCCAGGGCAAUGUGGCAAAACCCCGUCUCUUCAAAAAAUUAGCCAGGCAUGGUGGCAUGCACCUGUAGUUCCAGCUAUUGAGGAGGCUGAGCUGAAAGGAUCGUUUGAGCCCAGGAGGUUGAGGCUGCAGGGAGCUAUGAUCUGCACUCCAGCCUGAGUAACAAAGUGAGACUCUGUCUCAAAAAAAAUAAAAAAAAUAAAAUAAAAUGAAAAAAGAUACUCGAGGAAAGUAAAGAUAAGCCAAAAUAAUUUUCAAGUAUAAAAGCAGCAAAGUGUUACCAAAAUGCAAAGACUCAGGAAAUACAGUUACCAUAAGCUAUUCCUAAGGAAUCUACUAGUGAACAAGUUUCAAACAGUCACAAUGACUGCAGAGACAUUGACGUAAAGACAGAUGGCAAAUAUUAAGUGGGUGGGUAGGUAGAUACAGCUGUAGAUAUGGCCAGCUGUUUGCUGGAGGCAAUUUGGACAAGCUUAUGAGAGCCAAUGAACUUUUCAAGAAUUUUAUGAGUUGGUUAUUAAACAUAGACAUUAUGAACAGUUAAAGUAUAUACAUGUACGUACAUUUAAAUAAAUUAAAAACAGUAAACACUAAAAACACAUCGCUUCAUAAUUAUGUUACUACAUUUUACAAUUAUCUAUGCUUUUGAGGUUAUUUACAUUGAUUGUAUCAAAUGGUGGAGAUAGGGUCAGCUUCUGCACAUCUUUUCCCGAACUCCACAUUUAAUGAUGUCACCUUGAUAGCUCACCAAUGGUGAAAGUAUUUACUCCAUGGAAAGCUGCAAAAUGCUAUGAAUCAGGGCUUUUUCCCCCUUUUUCUGGAGAGUCUCUUGUUAAACAUUUCCUAGCACAUCAAUGGAUUCAAAAAAGAGAAGCUAGUAUGCAACAGAUCCAUGACUUGACAAUGUAGAUACACCACCACUCUGAAGACAUAUGAGGAGGGCACUGGGAGAGCGUAUGAAAAAUGUCUUUUUAGCCUUUCAGUAAUCAUUUUGGGUGAUAGUGAUGUCAUCGUUAUUCUGAGAAUGGAGUGUGUGCAAUGUCAAUUAAAGCAAAUAAAUAAUCAUAUGAUAUAUUUAAUUGUGUUAUCCUCUCUGUUUUGAAAACCAGGAUUUGGCCGUGGAUGGUGGCUCACACUUGUAGUCCCAGCACUUUGGGAGGCUGAGGCAGGUGGAUCACUUGAGGUCAGGAGUUUGAGAUCAGCUGGCCAACAUGGAGAAAACCCCGUGUCUACUAAAAAAUACAAAAAUUAGGCCGGGCACGGUGGCUCACGCCUGUAAUCCCAGCACUUUGGGAGGCCGAGG
RNAcentral lists this long non-coding RNA (18437 nucleotides) under Homo sapiens (human). Its description in RNAcentral is "non-protein coding lnc-RNASET2-1:5". Lineage: Eukaryota; Metazoa; Chordata; Mammalia; Primates; Hominidae. The record is from RNAcentral.